RNAcentral lists this ribosomal RNA (248 nucleotides) under Pseudomonas sp. BH4(2015). Its description in RNAcentral is "partial 16S ribosomal RNA". It matches the Rfam family "Bacterial small subunit ribosomal RNA", at positions 154 to 404 of the family's 1533-position model. Lineage: Bacteria; Pseudomonadati; Pseudomonadota; Gammaproteobacteria; Pseudomonadales; Pseudomonadaceae. The record is from RNAcentral.
AAAGGAACGCUAAUACCGCAUACGUCCUACGGGAGAAAGCAGGGGACCUUCGGGCCUUGCGCUAUCAGAUGAGCCUAGGUCGGAUUAGCUAGUUGGUGAGGUAAUGGCUCACCAAGGCGACGAUCCGUAACUGGUCUGAGAGGAUGAUCAGUCACACUGGAACUGAGACACGGUCCAGACUCCUACGGGAGGCAGCAGUGGGGAAUAUUGGACAAUGGGCGAAAGCCUGAUCCAGCCAUGCCGCGUGU